UACGUAGGGUGCGAGCGUUAAUCGGAAUUACUGGGCGUAAAGCGUGCGCAGGCGGUCCGCAAAGUCUGAUGUGAAAGCCCCGGGCUCAACCUGGGAACUGCAUUUGUGACUGCAUCGCUAGAGUACGGCAGAGGGGGAUGGAAUUCCGCGUGUAGCAGUGAAAUGCGUAGAUAUGCGGAGGAACACCGAUGGCGAAGGCAAUCCCCUGGGCCUGUACUGACGCUCAUGCACGAAAGCGUGGGGAGCAAACAGG
RNAcentral lists this ribosomal RNA (253 nucleotides) under uncultured bacterium. Its description in RNAcentral is "partial 16S ribosomal RNA". It matches the Rfam family "Bacterial small subunit ribosomal RNA", at positions 524 to 776 of the family's 1533-position model. The record is from RNAcentral.